GUGCUUGCUUCGGCAGCACAUAUACUAAAAUUGGAACAAUGCAGAGGAGAUUAGCAUGGUGCCUGUGCAAGGAUGACACACUAAUUCGUGGACUGUAUGUUCUC
This 104-nucleotide small nuclear RNA is filed under the name Suricata suricatta (meerkat). The record is from RNAcentral. Lineage: Eukaryota; Metazoa; Chordata; Mammalia; Carnivora; Herpestidae.